AGGUGGAGUGCGUAACAGUACCAUGCCCCUCUCUCCUCCAAACUGGAUCAGGAAAAGCGGCCUUGCUGGGCAAUGAUUCAAUCCAAAAGGCAAGAGCUCUUUCAGAAGUACUUUUCAGAAAGGCAAUAUCUCUUUUACUGGCCAAUGGGGUUCUCUCUUCUAAAAUUGGACUAAAAUUUCCCAGUGGGUUCUCCAAUUUAACUCUUUCUAAAACCUUUAGAAGCUAUGAAAGAAAGGGAAUAACCUUCCACUUGUCAUGUACAUCCUCUUAAGGUCUUCUCUCUUCUAUGUCAAAGCAUCGCAAAAUUACACAGUCUAUCAUUUAGUGUUGGAUAUUCCAAGGUAUAACUUCCUUCUCUACAUAUAUAUUCAUUUUGUAUGUUUUUCUAAUUUGUGAGGGUGAUUUCUGCCUGUACGUAUUAAUUGAUCCAUAUAUAAAAUACCAGCACUCAAAUUUUGUCAAAGAGGUUGGCCUGUUAAAUGUAGCAUUGUGGUGCUCAACAGAUUCUAUUUACAAUUUUAGUGUUCAAGUACAAACAAGUUAUACGCAUAUUUCAAACUCACUGGUGGUGUCAAUCUUGAUUCACUUUUUUUGGAUCAGCUGCUAUAUGUUAUAGGCAUAUUCUCACUGUAAAAAUGCCCUAAAUGUGAGGCCUUGACUUACCUUUUCUUUUUGAAAUUAUUACUUUGCCAUUGUUUCGAUGUUACCACAACCACAUGGUUGUACUCUUCCACAUAAGAUCGACUCUACGUUUAAUCUGUAGUAAUUUAGUUGACUGAUUUUGCAUGCUAAUAAUUCAAUAGAUGGGCACAACUUUUUUUGGAGGGAAAUAGAUGGUUACAACUUAACAAUGUUGGGUGCAUUAUGUUCUGUCAAGACUUAAUAUAUGGGGGCUAUCGGUCAUGCACCUUUUCUUCUUUUGUAUUUGGGAGUAUUUUGUAUAUUUUGUGCAAUAUGAUUUGUGAAAUAUUUUUGGCCAAAUAUGUUUUUCGCCAUCUGCGGAUGAUUUUGGAAAACAUAGGUUGACAUUGAUAUCAAUCUAUCUAAAGAAAAUGAUAUUGAUUCUUCCUCGUGCUCUAUUAUUAGUGAUCCUGUAACAGCUUUCUUAUCCAUUCAUACAAGUCAAAGAUGCGCACAUUGUUGCUUCCUUGUGCUUUGUUAAUAUUGAUUUUCUAAUGGAUUUUUAUAGAUAAAUUUAUGUGCAUGGCACAGAUUAACAGUUUGGCCAGGCUUUUGUACUGAGCGAUGUCAUUUUGAAAAAAAAACUGAAUAAACUAAACCCAUCAGACGAGAAAAGGCUGAUUCUGCCAAUUCAAGUUCGAUGUCUGGCUAGGUGUCUUGUGCAGACUUGACAUGGGCUAUGUUGGACACUAGCAAGUGUUCCCAAUCACAUCUUAAAGAAAUUCAAGUUCGCUGCAGGAAAGGUUUGCUCUUUCAAAAUCAAUGCACUUGUGAGUACCAAGCUGAAUAAGGUUUAUUAUGCAUGCUGAAUAAGGUACUGAAAUGAUCUGAAUUUCAAACUCUGUUUUCUUUGCUUGCUUGGUAGUACAGUCUGCAGUGCAUAACACAUCUUCUUGUUUUUUUUUCUGUUAUAGUUUCAUUUUUCAGAAACUUGUCAGAGGACGAGACGACAGACUUUAGAGAAUGUGACUCCCAGUAUAGUGAUAAAUAGAGGGAAAAUUAACCUUAAGGUCCUAAGGGCUGCUUUAUAAAAGCUUUGUACCAAAUUUACUGAAUUAGAAAUAACAGUUGAUACAGCUGAUGGAGGUGUAUGAACGGGCAGUUCUUGCAGUUACUUAUUCAGUGGACAUAUGGUGUAAUUAUUGUCAGUUUGCGAUUUCAACAUACAAUGACCCAGAUGUCAUCAGAAGGUAGCAAUUGAAUAUCGGGACUAUUCCGAUGAAGUUUUUUUAAUAUAUUUUUAUAGUGUCUUGACUUUUGUUAACUACCGCAUUUUAGGCUGUAUGUGUAUGUAUAGGAAUACAUACAUGGCAAGAAGGGAUUUUACAAUACCUAGGACCUGCACAGGAAUGCUUGAUGAAAUGCUUUAUAAUAUUUUAGCACUGUUUUUCGGCAGUCCUUGUGGUAGGAAAGUGAUCCAUUCUUCGAAAACUCAUCUACUACUACUCACCAAAUCACAUCGUUCCAUAUAUGGACUAACUGAGAAUCUGGGAUUUUUCCAUCAAUCGCACUGCCUUUCCAUCCCCUCCAUCAACAAGCGAUCAAUCUUCCACAUCGCAAAAAAAAGAAGAGAGUCAAUCUUCCAAAUCACUUCAUUCCAUAUAUGGACUAACUUGGAAUCUGGGAUUCCAUCGAUCGCGCUGCCUACAUGCCCCUCCAACAAGCGAUCAAUCUCAGCACAGAAGGCUCUUUGUUUUCUUGACGCUCGUGGCUUUUGUAGCAAAUUCUAUUUGUUCUUCGCCACUUUGGGUUGUGGGGCUUACUUCCUAGCCCCGCCUGCUUGUUGUACCACCGCCCACUUUGUGGCUCUAGCGCCAGCGCCAGCCUGGGACAUCUCUCUAUCCGGGCCGGCAUACCGGGAUGUUGCAGGGCCGCCGUCACCUCGAGAAGGGGCGAGGAGUCCAUCGUAUGCCCAGUUGAUGUCCCUGGGUACUCACUGUGGCACGAAGAGUCCCUCACCGUUGUCCUCUUCGACCAGCAUAACAACGACAGGUCAGCCUGUGCAGACUACAAACUGAGGGCGCAGAUGUGCCACGCACAAGACACAAGGGUGACAAGGCCAGGAGCGGCAGCAGGCGGCGGUGGAGCACGCAGCAAGAUUUUCAAUCGGCAAAAUGAUUUGGUGUAAUACAAGCUUCCUGGGGAAAUCUGGUUUAGCUUUCAGUCCAGCUUUGAUGAUAAAAUAACAUCAGCCUACCUCGAACAUAACUUUAAUAAAGAAAUCUUUGCAAGGAAUAUGUGUGAUUUCGGAGGAGCCAAGUUGCAAGGAGCUAAUGGGACACGAA
This is a long non-coding RNA of Triticum aestivum (bread wheat), 2967 nucleotides long. RefSeq lists it as uncharacterized. Lineage: Eukaryota; Viridiplantae; Streptophyta; Magnoliopsida; Poales; Poaceae. The transcript is spliced from 4 exons. The record is from RefSeq and is a predicted model, not a curated record.